This 70-nucleotide transfer RNA is filed under the name Camelus bactrianus (Bactrian camel). It matches the Rfam family "tRNA". From Rfam's summary of the family: Transfer RNA (tRNA) molecules are approximately 80 nucleotides in length. Their secondary structure includes four short double-helical elements and three loops (D, anti-codon, and T loops). Further hydrogen bonds mediate the characteristic L-shaped molecular structure. tRNAs have two regions of fundamental functional importance: the anti-codon, which is responsible for specific mRNA codon recognition, and the 3' end, to which the tRNAs corresponding amino acid is attached (by aminoacyl-tRNA synthetases). tRNAs cope with the degeneracy of the genetic code in two manners: having more than one tRNA (with a specific anti-codon) for a particular amino acid; and 'wobble' base-pairing, i.e. permitting non-standard base-pairing at the 3rd anti-codon position. The record is from Rfam by way of RNAcentral. RNAcentral also lists the same sequence under 2 other names. Lineage: Eukaryota; Metazoa; Chordata; Mammalia; Artiodactyla; Camelidae.
GGAUAUAGCUCAGUGGUAGAGUGUGUGCCUGGCAUGCGUGAAGUCCUGGAUUCAAUCCCCAGUACCUCCA